CCUACGGGAGGCAGCAGUGGGGAAUAUUGCACAAUGGGCGCAAGCCUGAUGCAGCGACGCCGCGUGAGGGAUGACGGCCUUCGGGUUGUAAACCUCUUUCAGCAGGGACGAAGCGCAAGUGACGGUACCUGCAGAAGAAGCACCGGCCAACUACGUGCCAGCAGCCGCGGUAAUACGUAGGGUGCAAGCGUUGUCCGGAAUUACUGGGCGUAAAGAGCUCGUAGGCGGUUUGUCGCGUCGUCUGUGAAAACCAGCAGCUCAACUGUUGGCUUGCAGGCGAUACGGGCAGACUUGAGUAUUUCAGGGGAGACUGGAAUUCCUGGUGUAGCGGUGAAAUGCGCAGAUAUCAGGAGGAACACCGGUGGCGAAGGCGGGUCUCUGGGAAAUAACUGACGCUGAGGAGCGAAAGCGUGGGUAGCGAACAGGAUUAGAUACCCUGGUAGUCCACGCCGUAAACGGUGGGCGCUAGGUGUGGGUUUCCUUCCACGGGNUCCGUGCCGUAGCUAACGCAUUAGCGCCCGCGUGGGGAGGUACGCGCGAGACGUAACGUACGAAGUUAGAGUAGUUAGGCGUGAGACGNGCGACGGACGACGACGAGGGAGGAGG
This 606-nucleotide ribosomal RNA is filed under the name uncultured bacterium. RNAcentral describes it as "bacterial SSU rRNA". The stretch from base 1 to 523 matches the Rfam family "Bacterial small subunit ribosomal RNA", at positions 338 to 873 of the family's 1533-position model. The record is from RNAcentral.